This is a non-coding RNA of Clostridium estertheticum, 171 nucleotides long. Lineage: Bacteria; Bacillati; Bacillota; Clostridia; Eubacteriales; Clostridiaceae. The record is from Rfam.
UCCACCGUGAGGUGGAAUCUAAAGGAAGUCGGCGGCAAAACUCUGGUCUGACGAACAGAAACUACAUAUAAGGCAUAUGCUUGUGGGUAAGUUUGCUUAACAAAACGAAGCCCUAACUAUCCGAAACAGGCGGUGUAAAUGUAGCAGAUAUUUGGAGGGAAAGUAGACGUU